GCAAUGAAGAGCUAAUCUGGCAGCCCUGUUCUGAGCAAUGAAGAGCUAAUCUGGCAGCCCUGUUCUGAGCAAUGAAGAGCUAAUCUGGCAGCCCUGUUCUGAGCAAUGAAGGGCUUAUCUGGCAGCCCUGUUCUGAGCAAUGAAGGGCUAAUCUGGCAGCCCUGUUCUGAGCAAUGAAGAGCUAAUCUGGCAGCCCUGUUCUGAGCAAUGAAGGGCUAAUCUGGCAGCCCUGUUCUGAGCAAUGAAGAGCUAAUCUGGCAGCCCUGUUCUGAGCAAUGAAGAGCUAAUCUGGCAGCCCUGUUCUGAGCAAUGAAGGGCUAAUCUGGCAGCCCUGUUCUGACCAAUGAAGGGCUAAUCUGGCAGCCCUGUUCUGAGCAAUGAAGGGCUUAUCUGGCAGCCCUGUUCUGAGCAAUGAAGGGCUAAUCUGGCAGCCCUGUUCUGAGCAAUGAAGGGCUAAUCUGGCAACCCUGUUCUGAGCAAUGAAGGGCUAAUCUGGCAGCCCUGUUCUGAGCAAUGAAGAGCUAAUCUGGCAGCCCUGUUCUGAGCAAUGAAGGGCUUAUCUGGCAGCCCUGUUCUGAGCAAUGAAGGGCUAAUCUGGCAGCCCUGUUCUGAGCAAUGAAGGGCUAAUCUGGCAGCCCUGUUCUGAGCAAUGAAGGGCUAAUCUGGCAGCCCUGUUCUGAGCAAUGAAGAGCGAAUCUGGCAGCCCUGUUCUGAGCAAUGAAGGGUUAAUGUGGCAGCCCUGUUUUGAGCAAUUUUGAGCUUUUUUAUAUAUUUCUUUACUGCAGAUGACCAUAUAACUGGACAGUACUCUAAGUGUAACAGUACCAGGGAUUGACCAUAUAACUGGACAGUACUCUAAAUGUGAUUGGACCAGGGAUUGACCAUAUAACUGGACAGUACUCUAAGUGUGAUUGGACCAGGGAUUGACCAUAUAACUGGACAAUACUCUGUGUGAUUGGACCAGGGAUUGACCAUAUAACUGGGCAGUACUCUAAGUUUGAUUGGACCAGGGAUUGACCAUAUAACUGGACAGUACUCUAAGUGUAACAGUACCAGGGAUUGACCAUAUAACUGGACAGUACUCUAAGUGUGACAAGACCAGGGAUUGACCAUAUAACUGGACAGUACUCUAAGUGUGACAGGACCAGGGAUUGACCAUAUAACUGGACAAUACUCUGUGUGAUUGGACCAGGGAUUGACCAUAUAACUGGGCAGUACUCUAAGUGUAACAGGACCAGGGAUUGACCAUAUAACUGGACAGUACUCUAAGUGUGAUUGGACCAGGGAUUGACCAUAUAACUGGACAGUACUCUAAGUGUGAUUGGACCAGGGAUUGACCAUAUAACUGGACAGUACUCUAAGUGUGAUUGGACCAGGGAUAGACCAUAUAACUGGACAGUACUCUAAGUGUAAUAGGACCAGGGAUUGACCAUAUAACUGGACAGUACUCUAAGUGUAACAGGACCAGGGAUUGACCAUAUAACUGGACAGUACUCUAAGUGUGACCAUAUAACUGGACAGUACUCUAAGUGUGAUUGGACCAGGGAUUGACCAUAUAACUGGACAGUACUCUAAGUGUGAUGGUACCAGGGAUUCACCAUAGAACUGGACAGUACUCUAAGUGUGACAGGACCAGGGAUUGACCAUAUAACUGGACAGUACUCUAAGUGUAACAGGACCAGGGAUUGACCAUAUAACUGGACAGUACUCUAAGUGUGACCAUAUAACUGGACAGUACUCUAAGUGUGACAGGACCAGGGAUUGACCAUAUAACUGGACAGUACUCUAAGUGUUAUAGGACCAGGGAUUGACCAUAUAACUGGACAGUACUCUAAGUGUGAUUGGACCAGAGAUUGACCAUAUAACUGGACAGUACUCUAAGUGUGACAGGACCAGGGAUUGACCAUAUAACUGGACAGUACUCUAAGUGUAACAGGACCAGGGAUUGACCAUAUAACUGGACAGUACUCUAAGUGUGACUGGACCAGGGAUUGACCAUAUAACUGGACAGUACUCUUAAGUGUGAUAGGACCAGGGAUUGAAUCACCUGAUUCAGAGUGUUAGAUGUUACAUACUCUGAACAUUUUCUUGUCACAGUAAUUCCCUUAUCCAUCUUAAUAACAAUAUGAUCUAUGUGUUCUGACCAUGAUAAAGCUGCAUCCAACAUGACAGCUUGUAGUUUAGUUUUUUUCACUUCCUCUACAUGUAUUCUAUUCAUCGACAAAUUCAAUUGAGGAUCAUCAGCAAGCAUAUAUCUUGAACCAAAUGCAAUACAUUUAGUUUUAGAAAUGUUCAACACCAAUUUUGUUUAUUUCAAUCCACUCAGACACCAUUCUUAGUUCACUGCUCAGUACAUCUGUUAGCUCAUUACAUUCUGAGGCUGCGCUAUACAUUGUAGAGUCAUCAGCAUACAUAAUCACUCCUGCUUUGUUCAUUACUGAAGGUAAAUCAUUAGUAAACAUAGAGAAGUGAGCCUAGGGAAAUUCCUUGAGAAACACCACAGUGUUUUACUGUUUGAAAAGCUACCAUUAAAAAAAACACUUAAGAUAACUUUCCAUCCAGGAUAGAGCUGCAGACUUAAAACCAGGGCCAGCUUUGAUAUUGUAGUUUUCCUAGUGAGUGAGUCCUGAUUGAACGCUCUGUUGGACCUGUGGUAGAUUACCUUAGGGCCAGCCUUUGGCAUUUUAGUUUUCCUAGUGAGUGAGUCCUGAUCGAACCCUUUGUAGGAACUGCGGUAGAUUACGUUAGAGCCAGCCUUUGGUAUUUUUGAAUUUUCCUAGUGAGUACAACCAUGUUAUGAUCACUACAACCUAGUGCCACUGAUACAGCUUAAGAACAACGUUCAGCCAUGUUGGUAAAAAUGUGAUCGAUACAAGAAUGAUGAUGUGAUACCGGACCAAUCAGUGAACAUUCUGUUUGGUGAUGUCAUAACUUGGGUCAGGUUACAUGGCAACAGAAAUACGUUUCUUUCUCAUUGGACAGUUGGUGUUCAAAAAUAUCAAUAUUCAUAUCUCUCCCCCCCCAAUUUUUUUUUUUAUAUUUCCUUAUUUUCAUCAGAUACUUUUAUCCAACAUUUAGCAAAUUACAUCAACAUAUUUCACAUCAACACUAGAUGGCCUAUAGCAGCAACCAACUACUAUAGGUUUUAAAUGUGGUAAAUACACCUGUACCCAAAGUGCCUCUAAUCCAUUCAACAUUAAGUCCUUACGUUGUUUUACUGGAAUAUGAAUCUAGAUGUAAACUGCAAUUCCACACCCCCCCCCAUAUCUAUAUCUGUCCCUCCUGAACAUAUUGUGUCCAUGUAUAAAGAUCUCAGCAUCCUCAAUAGAAGAGUCCAAGUGAGUCUCUGAUAUUGCCAAUACAUUAAUAUUGUUUGACUGCACCAAACAGCAUAUUUCAUGAAUUGUGUUCCUUAAUAAAAACUGCAUAUAUUCAGAGUGAACAAUGAACAGACCUUUCUUUGGUAGAUUUACAGUAUGUAUACAUCCAAACAUGAAUCACCAGUUGGAAUCUGAGAGAGAGAUACUCAGUCAGUAUGUCUCUGUGUGUGUGUGUGUGUGUGUGUGUGUGUGUGUGUGUGUGUGUGUGUGUGUGUGUGUGUGUGUGUGUGUGUGUGUGUGUGUGUGUGUGUGUGUGUGUGUGUGUGUGUGUGUGUGUGUGUGUGUGUGUGUGUGUGUGUGUGUGCUUGCGUGGGGCUGGAAUUACUUGUGACUGUCGCUCCUCCUAACUCCUUGGGAGAGAGGGUGAACAAUCGGUUUGUCGUACCUCAGAUAUGUUAUGUCACCUCGUUCUCUUGCAGCCUUAAUGGCUGAUAUUAGUUCCUUUCUUCUUCUUUGACGGACUGCAUCUGAGAAAUCCUCAUUGACGAAGAUGAAGGACCCAUUAAGGUGUUGACUGGUUAUAGUUAUAGUAGUGGUAGUGACUGGUUAUAGUUAUAGUAGUGGUAGUGACUGGUUAUAGUUAUAGUAGUGGUAGUGUCUGGUUAUAGUAGUGGUAGUGACUGGUUAUAGUAGUGGUAGUGACUGGUUAUAGUAGUGGUAGUGACUGGUUAUAGUAGUGGUAGUGACUGGUUAUAGUAGUGGUAGUGUCUGGUUAUAGUAGUGGUAGUGACUGGUUAUAGUAGUGGUAGUGACUGGUUAUAGUAGUGGUAGUGACUGGUUAUAGUUAUAGUAGUGGUAGUGACUGGUUAUAGUAGUGGUAGUGACUGGUUAUAGUAGUGGUAGUGACUGGUUAUAGUUAUAGUAGUGGUAGUGACUGGUUAUAGUAGUGGUAGUGACUGGUAAUAGUAGUGGUAGUGUCUGGUUAUAGUAGUGGUAGUGACUGGUUAUAGUAGUGGUAGUGACUGGUUAUAGUAGUGGUAGUGACUGGUUAUAGUAGUGGUAGUGACUGGUUAUAGUAGUGGUAGUGACUGGUUAUAGUUAUAGUAGUGGUAGUGUCUGGUUAUAGUAGUGGUAGUGUCUGGUUAUAGUAGUGGUAGUGACUGGUUAUAGUAGUGGUAGUGACUGGUUAUAGUAGUGGUAGUGAAUGGUUAUAGUAGUGGUAGUGUCUGGUUAUAGUAGUGGUAGUGUCUGGUUAUAGUAGUGGUAGUGUCUGGUUAUAGUAGUGGUAGUGACUGGUUAUAGUAGUGGUAGUGUCUGGUUAUAGUAGUGGUAGUGACUGGUUAUAGUAGUGGUAGUGACUGGUUAUAGUAGUGGUAGUGACUGGUUAUAGUAAUGGUAGUGACUGGUUAUAGUAGUGGUAGUGUCUGGUUAUAGUAGUGGUAGUGUCUGGUUAUAGUUAUAGUAGUGGUAGUGACUGGUUAUAGUUAUAGUAGUGGUAGUGUCUGGUUAUAGUAGUGGUAGUGUCUGGUUAUAGUAAUGGUAGUGUCUGGUUAUAGUAGUGGUAGUGACUGGUUAUAGUAGUGGUAGUGACUGGUUAUAGUAGUGGUAGUGACUGGUUAUAGUAGUGGUAGUGUCUGGUUAUAGUAGUGGUAGUGUCUGGUUAUAGUAGUGGUAGUGUCUGGUUAUAGUAGUGGUAGUGACUGGUUAUAGUAGUGGUAGUGUCUGGUUAUAGUAGUGGUAGUGACUGGUUAUAGUAGUGGUAGUGACUGGUUAUAGUAGUGGUAGUGACUGGUUAUAGUAAUGGUAGUGACUGGUUAUAGUAGUGGUAGUGUCUGGUUAUAGUAGUGGUAGUGUCUGGUUAUAGUUAUAGUAGUGGUAGGUACUGGUUAUAGUUAUAGUAGUGGUAGGUACUGGUUAUAGUUAUAGUAGUGGUAGUGUCUGGUUAUAGGAGUGGUAGUGUCUGGUUAUAGUAGUGGUAGUGUCUGGUUAAAGUAGUGGUAGUGGUAGUGUCUGGUUAUAGUAAUGGUGGUGACUGGUUAUAGUAAUGUUAGUGACUGGUUAUAGUAGUGGUAGUGACUGGUUAUAGUAGUGGUAGUGUCUGGUUAUAGUAAUGGUGGUGACUGGUUAUAGUAGUGGUAGUGACUGGUUAUAGUUAUAGUAGUGGUAGUGACUGGUUAUAGUAGUGGUAGUGACUGGUUAUAGUAGUGGUAGUGUCUGGUUAUAGUAAUGGUGGUGACUGGUUAUAGUAGUGGUAGUGACUGGUUAUAGUUAUAGUAGUGGUAGUGACUGGUUAUAGUAGUGGUAGUGACUGGUUAUAGUAGUGACUGGUUAUAGUAGUGGUAGUGACUGGUUAUAGUAGUGGUAGUGUCUGGUUAUAGUAGUGGUAGUGACUGGUUAUAGUAGUGGUAGUGACUGGUUAUAGUAGUGGUAGUGACUGGUUAUAGUAGUGGUAGUGACUGGUUAUAGUAGUGGUAGUGACUGGUUAUAGUUAUAGUAGUGGUAGUGACUGUUUAUAGUAGUGGUAGUGUCUGGUUAUAGUUAUAGUAGUGGUAGUGACUGGUUAUAGUAGUGGUAGUGACUGGUUAUAGUAGUGGUAGUGACUGGUUAUAGUAGUGGUAGUGACUGGUUAUAGUAAUGGUAGUGAUUGGUUAUAGUAGUGGUAGUGACUGGUUAUAGUUAUAGUAGUGGUAGUGACUGGUUAUAGUAGUGGUAGUGUCUGGUUAUUGUAGUGGUAGUGACUGGUUAUAGUAGUGGUAGUGACUGGUUAUAAUAGUGGUAGUGACUGGUUAUAGUAAUGGUAGUGACUGGUUAUAGUAGAGGUAGUGACUGGUUAUAGUUAUAGUAGUGGUGGUGACUGGUUAUAGUAGUGGUAGUGUCUGGUUAUAGUAGUGGUAGUGACUGGUUAUAGUAGUGGUAGUGACUGGUUAUAGUUAUAGUAGUGGUAGUGACUGGUUAUAGUAAUGGUAGUGACUGGUUAUAUUAAUGGUAGUGACUGGUUAUAGUAGUGGUAGUGUCUGGUUAUAGUAGUGGUAGUGUCUGGUUAUAGUAGUGGUAGUGUCUGGUUAUAGUAGUGGUAGUGACUGGUUAUAGUAGUGGUAGUGACUGGUUAUAGUAGUGGUAGUGUCUGGUUAUAGUAGUGGUAGUGACUGGUUAUAGUAGUGGUAGUGACUGGUUAUAGUAGUGGUAGUGACUUGUUAUAGUAGUGGUAGUGUCUGGUUAUAGUAGUGGUAGUGACUGGUUAUAGUAGUGGUAAGGACUGGUUAUAUUUGUGGUAGUGACUGGUUAUAGUUAUAGUAGUGGUAGUGACUGGUUAUAGUAGUGGUAGUGACUGGUUAUAGUAGUGGUAGUGACUGGUUAAAGUAGUGGUAGUGUCUGGUUAUAGUAGUGGUAGUGACUGGUUAUAGUAGUGGUAGUGACGGGUUAUAGUAGUGGUAGUGACUGGUUAUAGUAGUGGUAGUGACUGGUUAUAGUAGUGGUAGUGACUGGUUAUAGUAGUGGUAGUGUCUGGUUAUAGUUAUAGUAGUGGUAGUGACUGGUUAUAGUAGUGGUAGUGACUGGUUAUAGUUAUAGUAGUGGUAGUGACUGGUUAUAGUAGUGGUAGUGUCUGGUUAUAGUUAUAGUAGUGGUAGUGUCUGGUUAUAGUAGUGGUAGUGACUGGUUAUAGUAGUGGUAGUGACUGGUUAUAGUUAUAGUAGUGGUAGUGACUGGUUAUAGUAGUGGUAGUGUCUGGUUAUAGUUAUAGUAGUGGUAGUGUCUGGUUAUAGUAGUGGUAGUGACUGGUUAUAGUAGUGGUAGUGACUGGUUAUAGUAGUGGUAGUGACUGGUUAUAGUAGUGGUAGUGACUGGUUAUAGUUAUAGUAGUGGUAGUGACUGGUUAUAGUAGUGGUAGUGACUGGUUAUAGUUAUAGUAGUGGUAGUGACUGGUUAUAGUUAUAGUAGUGGUAGUGACUGGUUAUAGUUAUAGUAGUGGUAGUGACUGGUUAUAGUAGUGGUAGUGACUGGUUAUAGUAGUGGUAGUGACUGGUUAUAGUAGUGGUAGUGACUGGUUAUAGUAGUGGUAGUGACUGGUUAUAGUAGUGGUAGUGUCUGGUUAUAGUAGUGGUAGUGUCUGGUUAUAGUUAUAGUAAUGGUAGUGACUGGUUAUAGUAGUGUCGGUGACUGGUUAUAGUACUGGUAGUGUCUGGUUAUAGUAGUGGUAGUGUCUGGUUAUAGUAGUGGUAGUGUCUGGUUAUAGUUAUAGUAGUGGUAGUGACUGGUUAUAGUAAUGGUAGUGACUGGUUAUAGUAGUGGUAGUGACUGGUUAUAGUAGUGUUAGUGUCUGGUUAUAGUAGUGGUAGUGACUGGUUAUAGUUAUAGUAAUGGUAGUGACUGGUUAUAGUAGUGGUAUUGUCUGGUUAUAGUUAUUGUAGUGGUAGUGUCUGGUUAUAGUAGUGGUAGUGUCUGGUUAUAGUUAUAGUAGUGAUAGUGACUGGUUAUAGUAGUGGUAGUGUCUGGUUAUAGUUAUAGUAGUGGUAGUGACUGGUUAUAGUAGUGGUAGUGACUGGUUAUAGUAGUGGUAGUGACUGGUUAUAGUAGUGGUAAUGACUGGUUAUAGUAAUGGUAGUGACUGGUUAUAGUAGUGGUAGUGACUGGUUAUAGUAGUGGUAGUGACUGGUUAUAGUAGUGGUAGUGACUGGUUAUAGUAGUGGUAGUGACUGGUUAUAGUAGUGGUAGUGACUGGUUAUAGUAGUGGUAGUGUCUGGUUAUAGUAGUGGUAGUGACUGGUUAUAGUAGUGGUAGUGACUGGUUAUAGUAGUGGUAGUGUCUGGUUAUAGUAGUGGUAGUGACUGGUUAUAGUAGUGGUAGUGACUGGUUAUAGUAGUGGUAGUGACUGGUUAUAGUAGUGACUGGUUAUAGUAGUGGUAGUGACUGGUUAUAGUAGUGGUAAUGACUGGUUAUAGUAAUGGUAGUGACUGGUUAUAGUAGUGGUAGUGACUGGUUAUAGUUAUAGUAGUGGUAAUGACUGGUUAUAGUUAUAGUAGUGGUAGUGACUGGUUAUAGUAGUGGUAGUGACUGGUUAUAGUAGUGACUGGUUAUAGUAGUGGUAGUGACUGGUUAUAGUAGUGACUGGUUAUAGUAGUGGUAGUGACUGGUUAUAGUAGUGGUAGUGACUGGUUAUAGUAGUGGUAAUGACUGGUUAUAGUAAUGGUAGUGACUGGUUAUAGUUAUAGUAGUGGUAGUGACUGGUUAUAGUAGUGGUAGUGACUGUUUAUAGUAGUGGUAGUGACUGGUUAUAGUUAUAGUAGUGGUAGUGUCUGGUUAUAGUAAUGGUAGUGACUGGUUAUAGUUAUAGUAGUGGUAGUGACUGGUUAUAGUAGUGGUAGUGACUGUUUAUAGUAGUGGUAGUGACUGGUUAUAGUUAUAGUAGUGGUAGUGACUGGUUAUAGUAGUGGUAGUGACUGGUUAUAGUAGUGGUAAUGACUGGUUAUAGUAAUGGUAGUGACUGGUUAUAGUUAUAGUAGUGGGAGUGACUGGUUAUAGUAGUGGUAGUGACUGGUUAUAGUAGUGGUAGUGACUGGUUAUAGUAAUGGUAGUGACUGGUUAUAGUUAUAGUAGUGGGAGUGACUGGUUAUAGUAGUGGUAGUGACUGGUUAUAGUAGUGGUAGUGUCUGGUUAUAGUAGUGGUAGUGACUGGUUAUAGUUGUGGUAGUGACUGGUUAUAGUAGUGGUAGUGUCUGGUUAUAGUAGUGGUAGUGUCUGGUUAUAGUAGUGGUAGUGACUGGUUAUAGUAGUGGUAGUGACUGGUUAUAGUAGUGGUAGUGUCUGGUUAUAGUAAUGGUAGUGACUGGUUAUAGUUAUAGUAGUGGUAGUGAAUGGCUAUUGUAGUGGUAGUGUCUAAAGUAGUAAUGGUAAUGACUCAAGACAUGUAUAGAUGUCCGAUUUCGAAGUCACUCUUGAGCGAUCUGCCUGGUGUGUGUGUGUGUGUGUUCUCUGAUUAACACUGUAUUGUUGGUUGUUGUCUCCGAAAAAUGUAUAAAAACUACAUAAAGAAAUAUUUCAGUCAACACACACACACACACCCACA
RNAcentral lists this long non-coding RNA (9384 nucleotides) under Salmo salar (Atlantic salmon). RNAcentral describes it as "lncRNA (ENSSSAG00000102908.1)". The record is from RNAcentral. Lineage: Eukaryota; Metazoa; Chordata; Actinopteri; Salmoniformes; Salmonidae.